UAUGAUGUCACGGUACAAUAUAUAAUGCUGUGAAUUUUAUAAUAAUUAUACUACAAUUUUAAUUAUAUUUAUUAGUAUGGUUAAACUAGAACAUAUUUCUGGCACUCGUCCUUUUGUAGAUGUUUUUCCUGACACGAGUCUCAAGAAAGUUAAUCCUUGGGGCGAGCUGUAAAAGGCAAAUUCAGACAAGCAGGAGUAUCGUGACACGUGGGAUAAGAUCGUAAAAGACAGCAAAGAAGACCCGGAUGUUUUAAGCAAAAGUGAGGAAACACAAGUAGAGAAAGUUAAGAGAGGUAACUACGCUUUCAUCCGUGACGAUGCUUCCAUGCGAAGAUACAUGAAAGAAAACUGUGGAUUGCAAAGGCUCGGGGUGUCUCUGGAUUGGCAGCCGGUCUCUAUAGGGGUCCCCAAGAAUUCUACGUUGAAGUAUACAUUUGGAAAAGUCAUGAAGAGAAUGGAGACCUCUGGUAUCUAUGAAUAUUGGUGGUAUUUGCAUAUGGCAGCUAUUAAAACCCCCGUCUGUCCGACCAGGAAGCGACCUGCCACCUCCAGUAUAACCUUGGACGACAUCAAAAGUAUCUUUGUUAUUCUUGGAGUGGGCAUAUUUGCUUCAGUGCUUGUACUAGCAUUGGAAAUUUUGUGGAGUGUAUUCAUGUGUCAAAACUGAAGAGAAAGAUUAAAUAAAUAAAAUAUAACGUUAAAGAAAACCAGACGGAGACGUUUGCACACCUAUAAUGGUAGUAUAGUAUGACUGUAUGCGGUUUUUUCAAAGUGAUGACAUGUAUCGAUCAUUGAGCUGCAAUCUCGCUUCACCAUAAUAUAACAUCAUUUCUUAAUGCAAAUACAAACACAACUACAUACAAAUGUUUUAUUGUCAUUUACAUUCGUGCAACACAGAAGCCUGUCGACGUUCAUAUUACUUUGUAGAAAACAGUACCUCGCUUUUGAGUGUUAAACAUUUUAUAUCAAAGGCUAACAACCAGAAUUGAUUUUCAAUUGUAACAUUUCUUUGAACGUUUUACAUGAUCUGGAAAUAUGAACAAAAAGCAGUUUUAUUUAUUUAUUCAAGUUUAAUAGCUUUCCAUCGCUCCUAAUACAUGCACAUUCCCCAAACUUAACUACAUUUUGGAAAACAGAAAGAAGGAACACGAUAAGUAGUGAACUACUGUCAUUUUUGUAACGAGUGGACAUGUAACAGGGGCAUAGCGUGAUCUGGACCUGUGUGUGUGUGUGUGUGUGUGUGUGUGUGUGUGUGUGUGUUCGAAUAUUCAUGAACCAUGUGGACCCUUUUUCUAUUUCGUCCGAACUCUUCGAACCCCCUUCCCAGCCUACGCCCCUGCCGUAAGUUGAUGUAACCAAUUCUGACGACACAUAUUUGAAGCUUACAUAGCGCCACGAUAUCGUAAAACUAUCGUAAGCUAUGACGUCAUUAUGACGUGAGUCGUAGUGACGUCAUAGCUUACGAUGAUUUUACGAUAUCGUAGCGCUAAGAUUGCUUCGAAAAUCUCUAACCAGGUUGUCGGUCCUCGAUAUGACCCAUAUUAGCGAGUGUAGGUACAUGAUAUCGAAGAAUAGCGCACGUCUGUUAGAACAUUAACGUGGAUGGUCUGUUCUAUAUGCUAAAAUUAAUCAUUUUAAAUGAUAUACAGUUACACGACACUGCAACUUUAACAAACUCGCUUUUUCAAUUUUUGCUUUGUGACUCGUCAAUGUCUUUAUCUUUCAACUGCUUCACAAGUGUUAUAUUGCAAUGUUUCUUCUUUAGAUGUGCACUGUUGUUUGUAUGCACUGUAAUAUAUGUAUGUGUGAAACAGGCGGUGAAAUGAUCCAAAUAAACAUAUUCCUAUA
RNAcentral lists this long non-coding RNA (1848 nucleotides) under Gigantopelta aegis. RNAcentral's name for it is "uncharacterized LOC121372357". Lineage: Eukaryota; Metazoa; Mollusca; Gastropoda; Neomphalida; Peltospiridae. The record is from RNAcentral.